UGAAACAACGUCACGAUGCAAAGACCACGUGCUGUCUCUUGGAUACCUGUUCGGGCAACACCAAACAUUGAUUGGGAGCGCCGUUCCAGAGUGACGCCAAAGAGUUCAAUUUCAUACUCGGUGCCACCGGUAAGGCCCGUUAAAACCUUGGUUCUCUCGUCACCGAAGGCGUGGAAUUCCUGCGGAUGCGUUGUCUUUCUGAUGUCUCUGAUUUUGAUGACGAAUCUAUCAAACAAGUCUUCAUCAGCAGUCCACGCGAGUCGCAAACUCUCAUCUGUGAUGUCCGAGACGAACAUGUGCUCCACUUCUGGCUCUGCCUCUAGUUGAAAAGGGAAUAUAACGCUGAUAUUUUCCGGCACCAUUAGGAGGAUUGGACGGUCGUUCAAGGCGAAGGCAGACAGACGGAGAACGCGGACACACACUGGUCAAUAUGCAGUCCGAUAGCAUAGGGGGCUACAUGAGGCAAUAUUGGCUGGACACGCAAUCCAAGGUCACACCAUGCAGUGAUGUGUCCUUUGAAAGGCGUAUCCUUUACACUGUUUCUACAUCAGAGGGAAAACACAGUUUUAAAAUAUGAAAACAAACAGGUAUUUGCUUGCUCAUAUUUUGGAGUAGGAAACAGAUGAGCACCAGGCAUGUCUGCUGGAACAAAAUCUGCAAUCAGAAAGUACAGGCAAGAUGAGAAUGUGCAUCCAGGGAAGACGAUCAGUUGAAAAAGUAAAGAAGUUGUUCUGGAAGAAAGACAAAUGUUAGAGGAGGUGAGUUGUGCUGUGUUGAGGUCUCCCCACCAAAGAAGGGGCAUGGAUAUAUUUUAGGCAACAUGGCUUUCAACUGCUAUGCAUUGUUCCAAAGGGUGGAUAGAGAAA
Osmerus eperlanus (European smelt) is the source of this 866-nucleotide long non-coding RNA. RefSeq lists it as uncharacterized. The transcript has 2 exons. The record is from RefSeq and is a predicted model, not a curated record. NCBI's taxonomy places the organism in Eukaryota, Metazoa, Chordata, Actinopteri, Osmeriformes, Osmeridae.